This 550-nucleotide ribosomal RNA is filed under the name Oscillatoria tenuis ISB 68. Its description in RNAcentral is "bacterial SSU rRNA". It matches the Rfam family "Bacterial small subunit ribosomal RNA", at positions 94 to 676 of the family's 1533-position model. The record is from RNAcentral. Lineage: Bacteria; Bacillati; Cyanobacteriota; Cyanophyceae; Oscillatoriales; Oscillatoriaceae.
AGUGGCGGACGGGUGAGUAACACGUGAGAAUCUGCCCUUAGGAGGGGGACAACAGUUGGAAACGACUGCUAAUACCCCAUAUGUCCAUGGAUGAAAGGAGAAAUCCGCCUGAGGAGGAGCUCGCGACUGAUUAGCUAGUUGGUAGUGUAAUGGACUACCAAGGCGACGAUCAGUAGCUGGUCUGAGAGGAUGAUCAGCCACACUGGGACUGAGACACGGCCCAGACUCCUACGGGAGGCAGCAGUGGGGAAUUUUCCGCAAUGGGCGAAAGCCUGACGGAGCAAUACCGCGUGUGGGAGGACGGCCUACUGGUUGUAAACCACUUUUCUCAGGGAAGAAGAACUGACGGUACCUGAGGAAUCAGCAUCGGCUAACUCCGUGCCAGCAGCCGCGGUAAUACGGAGGAUGCAAGCGUUAUCCGGAAUUAUUGGGCGUAAAGCGUCCGUAGGUGGUUAUGCAAGUCUGCUGUUAAAGAGUGGAGCUUAACUCCAUAGAGGCGGUGGAAACUGCAUAGCUAGAGAGUGGUAGGGGUAGAGGGAAUUCCCAGUGU